AAUUUAUCAAUGCUCGCAAGAGUGAACUAGCUAACUGAAAUAACAAGAACCACUAUGUGUGGUGAAUGUUAUAACGUAAGGGAAAAAAAUGAUAUUACCUUAUUAUUAGUGUUGUCAAAAACUGGUGCCAGAAGACUCGGUAAGGCCAGAAACGCAAACGUUAGUCGUCCUAAUCAGGCGUAAAGGGUAUGUAGGCUGCUUUAAAAAUUUUAUGUUUAAUAGCUCUGUAUUUAAAAAUUUAAUAUUUAAAAUGUUAAAUUUAUUUUGACAGUAAAAUAUAAAAUGAAUUAAAGCUAGGAUCAAAAUGAGGAUAAGUCAAAUAAUACUUAGUGUAGGGUUUAAAUCUGGUGAUACUAGGUGGAGUACUAACGGUGAAAGCUUUUUAUCUAGAAAUGAUUGACGCUGAGAAACGAAGGUGAGAAUAGGAAAUAGGAUUAGAUACCCAGAUACCUCUCACAGUCAACGAUGAAUGGUGGUUGUUAGUUAGUUUUACUUAACUGAUAACGAUGUUAACACGAUAACCAUUCCGCCUUGCGAGUACGGUUGCAAAACUGAAACCAAAAAAAUUAGUCGGUCUCGAAGCAAACGAAGUGAAGCAUGUUAUUA
This 606-nucleotide ribosomal RNA is filed under the name Pouzarella sp. SAAS1090. RNAcentral describes it as "SSU rRNA". It matches the Rfam family "Bacterial small subunit ribosomal RNA", at positions 359 to 947 of the family's 1533-position model. Lineage: Eukaryota; Fungi; Basidiomycota; Agaricomycetes; Agaricales; Entolomataceae. The record is from RNAcentral.